This 668-nucleotide ribosomal RNA is filed under the name groundwater metagenome. Its description in RNAcentral is "bacterial SSU rRNA". It matches the Rfam family "Archaeal small subunit ribosomal RNA", at positions 798 to 1467 of the family's 1478-position model. The record is from RNAcentral.
GUGCCUAAGUGAAGAUGUUAAGCUCGCCGCCUGGGAAGUACGGCCGCAAGACUGAAACUUAAAGGAAUUGGCGGGGGCUCACUACAAGGGGUGCGGCGUGCGGUUUAAUCUAACUCAACGCAGAGAAUCUCACCAGCAGCGACGGCAGAAUGAAAGUCAGUCUAAAGGGCUUACUUAACGAGCCGAGAGGUAGUGCAUGGCCGUCGUCAGCUCGUGCCGUAAGGUGUCCUCUUAAGUGAGGUAACGAGCGAGACCCAUACCCAUAAUUGCUAGCAGGCUUUUCGAAGUGACUGAGCACCUUAUGGGGACUGCCUUGGAAACAAGGAGGAAGGUGUGGGCCACGGUAGGUCUGUACGCUCCGAAUCUGCUGGGCUACACGCGCGCAACAAUGGCGAGGACAAUGGGAUGCAACGCUGAAAAGCGAAGCUAAACCUCGAAACCUCGUCCUAGUUUGGAUUGAGGGUUGUAACUCACCCUCAUGACAACGGAAUCCCUAGUAAUCGGGCUUCAUCACGGCCCGGUGAAUAUGUCCCUGCUCUUUGCACACACCGCCCGUCAAACCAACCGAGCAGUGUUCAGGUGAGCUGCGAUUCUUUGAUCGCAUCGAACCUAAGCUCAGUGAGGUGGGUUAAGUCGUCACAAGGUAGCCGUAGGGGAACCUGCGGCUG